This 253-nucleotide ribosomal RNA is filed under the name uncultured bacterium. RNAcentral's name for it is "partial 16S ribosomal RNA". It matches the Rfam family "Bacterial small subunit ribosomal RNA", at positions 524 to 776 of the family's 1533-position model. The record is from RNAcentral.
UCCGAAGGGGGCUAUCGUUGUUCGGAAUUACUGGGCGUAAAGCGCACGUAGGCGGAUAAUUAAGUCAGGGGUGAAAUCCCGGGGCUCAACCCCGGAACUGCCUUUGAUACUGGUUAUCUAGAGUAUGGAAGAGGUGAGUGGAAUUCCGAGUGUAGAGGUGAAAUUCGUAGAUAUUCGGAGGAACACCAGUGGCGAAGGCGGCUCACUGGUCCAUUACUGACGCUGAGGUGCGAAAGCGUGGGGAGUAAACAGG